RNAcentral lists this ribosomal RNA (333 nucleotides) under uncultured bacterium. RNAcentral describes it as "bacterial SSU rRNA". It matches the Rfam family "Bacterial small subunit ribosomal RNA", at positions 147 to 507 of the family's 1533-position model. The record is from RNAcentral.
GCCACCGAAAGGUGGUCUAAUACCUUAUAGUAUCCAUCUCGUAUGGAUUAAAGCUUUAUGCGCUUUGGGAGGGGCCUGCGUUUGAUUAGCUAGUUGGUGAGGUAAAAAGCUCACCAAGGCGACGAUCAAUAGCUGGUUUGAGAGGAUGACCAGCCACACUGGGACUGAGAUACGGCCCAGACUCCUACGGGAGGCAGCAGUAAGGAAUCUUCCACAAUGGGGCAACCUGAUGGAGCAAUACCGCGUGCAGGAUGAAGCGUUUCGGCGUGUAAACUGCUUUUAUCACCGAAGAUUAUGACUGUAGGUGAAGAAUAAGGACCGGCUAACUACGUG